RNAcentral lists this ribosomal RNA (440 nucleotides) under Escherichia coli. RNAcentral's name for it is "bacterial SSU rRNA". It matches the Rfam family "Bacterial small subunit ribosomal RNA", at positions 357 to 789 of the family's 1533-position model. Lineage: Bacteria; Pseudomonadati; Pseudomonadota; Gammaproteobacteria; Enterobacterales; Enterobacteriaceae. The record is from RNAcentral.
GGGAAUAUUGCACAAUGGGCGCAAGCCUGAUGCAGCCAUGCCGCGUGUAUGAAGAAGGCCUUCGGGUUGUAAAGUACUUUCAGCGGGGAGGAAGGGAGUAAAGUUAAUACCUUUGCUCAUUGACGUUACCCGCAGAAGAAGCACCGGCUAACUCCGUGCCAGCAGCCGCGGUAAUACGGAGGGUGCAAGCGUUAAUCGGAAUUACUGGGCGUAAAGCGCACGCAGGCGGUUUGUUAAGUCAGAUGUGAAAUCCCCGGGCUCAACCUGGGAACUGCAUCUGAUACUGGCAAGCUUGAGUCUCGUAGAGGGGGGUAGAAUUCCAGGUGUAGCGGUGAAAUGCGUAGAGAUCUGGAGGAAUACCGGUGGCGAAGGCGGCCCCCUGGACGAAGACUGACGCUCAGGUGCGAAAGCGUGGGGAGCAAACAGGAUUAGAUACCCUG